RNAcentral lists this ribosomal RNA (374 nucleotides) under uncultured bacterium. RNAcentral's name for it is "bacterial SSU rRNA". It matches the Rfam family "Bacterial small subunit ribosomal RNA", at positions 28 to 404 of the family's 1533-position model. The record is from RNAcentral.
GACGAACGCUGGCGGCGUGCUUAACACAUGCAAGUCGAGCGGUAAGGCCCUUUCGGGGUACGACGAGCGGCGAACGGGUGAGUAACACGUGGGUGACCUGCCCUCAGCUCUGGGAUAAGCCUGGGAAACCGGGUCUAAUACUGGAUAUGACUCCAUGACGCAUGUUGUGGGGUGGAAAGCCCUGUGCGGCUGAGGAUGGGCCCGCGGCCUAUCAGCUUGUUGGUGGGGUGAGGCCUACCAAGGCGACGACGGGUAGCCGGCCUGAGAGGGCGACCGGCCACACUGGGACUGAGACACGGCCCAGACUCCUACGGGAGGCAGCAGUGGGGAAUCUUGCGCAAUGGGCGAAAGCCUGACGCAGCGACGCCGCGUGA